UAGGGAAUCUUCCACAAUGGACGAAAGUCUGAUGGAGCAACGCCGCAUGAGUGAAGAAGGGUUUCGGCUCGUAAAACUCUGUUGUUAAAGAAGAACAUAUCUGAGAGUAACUGUUCAGGUAUUGACGGUAUUUAACCAGAAAGCCACGGCUAACUACGUGCCAA
This 164-nucleotide ribosomal RNA is filed under the name uncultured bacterium. Its description in RNAcentral is "partial 16S rRNA". It matches the Rfam family "Bacterial small subunit ribosomal RNA", at positions 355 to 511 of the family's 1533-position model. The record is from RNAcentral.